This 777-nucleotide ribosomal RNA is filed under the name Triticum aestivum (bread wheat). RNAcentral describes it as "partial small subunit ribosomal RNA". The record is from RNAcentral. Lineage: Eukaryota; Viridiplantae; Streptophyta; Magnoliopsida; Poales; Poaceae.
AUGGCCACGAUGGGUGGGGACCGAAGGCAGAUGAUGGAGGAUGCGGCGGAGGACAAGUUUCCCGAAGGGUUACGCGUCCUCGUCGUGGACGACGACUGCGUCUGCCUCAUGGUACUUGAAGCCCUGUUGCGCCGCUGUAAAUACCAACCAAUGACGGUGAUGGAUGGAAAGACGGCGCUCAGGAUGCUCAUGGCGGGGAAGCAGCAGUUCGACCUGGUCAUUACCGAUGUGCGCAUGCCGGACAUGGACGGCUUCAAGCUCCUCGAGCUCAUCCGCCUCGCGAUGGAUCUGCCCGUCAUCAUGAUAUCCGUUGAUUGCGACAAGAAGGUUGUGAUGAAGGGGAUAGAUCAUGGCGCGUCCGACUUUAUGGUGAAGCCAGUGCGUACCCAUGAGCUCAAAAACAUAUGGCAACAUGUUCAAAGGUGGAGAAAUCCCAAAGCAAUAAGCCACAGCAGCGAUCAUGACAAUGAUGUCCAGAGAGUUCAACCAGCGACUACUGACAAGAGUAAGUACUCGGGGAAUAAGAGAAAUGUUGGAGAUGAUUCUAGCGAGAACAAUGAGGGCACGCAUAUAUCCGCCAUCCACAGAAAGCCCAGGAUGACAUGGAAAAUUGCACUGCAUAACAAGUUUCUAGAAGCUAUCAACCAGAUCGGCCUUGAUAGUAAGAAUUCACAUCUUGUGCCUCAUUCAUCGACAAUGCUGGUGGCUGCUCGAUAUUUUCAUUAUAAUUUUUAUUACAUAAUUGUAGGGCUGUUCCAAAAAAGGUAUUGGAGCUGA